This is a long non-coding RNA of Dendrobium catenatum, 1257 nucleotides long. RefSeq lists it as uncharacterized. The record is from RefSeq and is a predicted model, not a curated record. NCBI's taxonomy places the organism in Eukaryota, Viridiplantae, Streptophyta, Magnoliopsida, Asparagales, Orchidaceae. The transcript has 2 exons.
UAGAACUUGCUAGAUGGCUAUGUACAUACACUGUCAUGUAUGAUUAUAUAUAUAUUUUUUAUUUUUUUGUCAUGUAUGAUUAUAUAGUGAUGGCACAUUUCUUGACAUGAAAGGUACAGUUUGACCCUUAAAGGGCACAAAAUGAGGCAUUUAAGAAUGAUCUAAAUUAUUUCAGAAAAUAGAGGAAAUAUUAAAUUUGACUUUUAUGUAGUUAAGAUAGUUUUAAGAUGAAUAAGGUCAAGAAGAACAUGCAUUUACUUGAAUAGCACCUUUCAUGGUAAGCCCUUUAUCUAGUGCAUUUCUUCAAAUAUUAUAUUAUUUUAGGAGGCUUAGAUUCUUAUUCAUUUAUACGUUUAUGCUGAAAUGUCCAGGUUUGUCUUUUGUCAAAGUGCUCAAGUCUAUUGAAUUAUUUGAUUUUUUUUUUCUCGAUGCUAGUUGUAAUCUAGUACAAAUUCAUGCUGCACCAAACCCAUUGAAUAUUCAUUUCAAUAUUAGUACAAUCAUAUCUAUUGAUUGCACCUUUCAUUCUAUUUAACAACAAAAACAAGUGUUCAGAUGUCUAUUGUGAUUUGUUUGAUGCAUGAACCAGCUUGCAUCUUACGUGUUUUAGCAGGAAGUCCUUUUGAAAACUGUCUAUUUGUUAUUUUAAUUUUAAUUAUAAGUUUUCUCCUUCUCUAUACCAAUGAUUUGGAUUUUUUUUCCAUCCAGGAGUCUUUCCAAAAGGCAGGACAAACUCAACUUUUCUAGGAUCUCCACAAUCAACGAUUGGAACCACUGCUACUAGCAGCAGCAGCAGCAGCAGCAUUUCGAUUGAGUUUUACCGUAAUGUCUCCAUUAACACUGGAUCAAGCUGAGCUUCCCCCAAGGAGGACGCUGUUAAAAGAAUGAGCAGCAGCUGAAUGGCCCGGAGCUUUGGAUUUCGACUUCUUUAGUCAAUAUGAACCAGGGAUUUGGCAUUUUUCCUUCAUAAUCCGCAUGUGUAUAUUUGACGGCUCUUGCCUCGAGCCUGCAUUGUGUGCAUUGAACAUGAGCUUGAUGAUCUUGAAUUUCUGAGAAUGGUGAUUGCUAACUGUUCAGUUCUCUGGCAUCCCUGCGUCACGUUGGAUUUUUUAACCAGUUGUCUGAUGAAGGUCAAUUCCUGAUGAAUUUUAUGUUUAUCUAAUUAAUUAUUUAUUUAUUUAGUGUUAAUUGAUGGAAUUUCUUGAAACUUGGAUUAGUAUGCACGUUUAAAAGAGUAGCUGAGUAAGUUUCCAUUUC